GACAGAGGGGGCAAGCGUUGCUCGGAAUUACUGGGCGUAAAGGGCUCGUAGGUGGCCAACUAAGUCAGACGUGAAAUCCCUCGGCUUAACCGGGGAACUGCGUCUGAUACUGGAUGGCUUGAAUCCGGGAGAGGGAUGCGGAAUUCCAGGUGUAGCGGUGAAAUGCGUAGAUAUCUGGAGGAACACCGAUGGCGAAGGCAGGUCUCUGGGCCACUACUGACGCUGAGAAGCGAAAGCAUGGGGAGCGAACAGG
Molecule: ribosomal RNA, 253 nt
Filed under: uncultured bacterium
Lineage: Bacteria
Description: partial 16S ribosomal RNA
Rfam family: Bacterial small subunit ribosomal RNA
Source: RNAcentral